GGGGAAUUUUGGACAAUGGGGGCAACCCUGAUCCAGCCAUGCCGCGUGAGUGAAGAAGGCCUUCGGGUUGUAAAGCUCUUUCGGCCGGGAAGAAAUCGUGGUCUCUAACAUAGGCCAUGGAUGACGGUACCGGACUAAGAAGCACCGGCUAACUACGUGCCAGCAGCCGCGGUAAUACGUAGGGUGCGAGCGUUAAUCGGAAUUACUGGGCGUAAAGCGUGCGCAGGCGGUUUUGUAAGACAGAUGUGAAAUCCCCGGGCUCAACCUGGGAACUGCGUUUGUGACUGCAAGGCUAGAGUACGGCAGAGGGGGGUGGAAUUCCACGUGUAGCAGUGAAAUGCGUAGAGAUGUGGAGGAACACCGAUUGCGAAGGCAGCUUACCAAGCAAAUACUGACGCUCAUGCACGAAAGCGUGGGGAUCAAAC
RNAcentral lists this ribosomal RNA (425 nucleotides) under uncultured bacterium. RNAcentral's name for it is "bacterial SSU rRNA". It matches the Rfam family "Bacterial small subunit ribosomal RNA", at positions 356 to 773 of the family's 1533-position model. The record is from RNAcentral.